This is a long non-coding RNA of Siniperca chuatsi (mandarin fish), 1814 nucleotides long. RefSeq lists it as uncharacterized. The transcript has 5 exons. The record is from RefSeq and is a predicted model, not a curated record. NCBI's taxonomy places the organism in Eukaryota, Metazoa, Chordata, Actinopteri, Centrarchiformes, Sinipercidae.
UUCAGUCUUCAGUAUCCUAAUGCAAAAUCAAAAUCAGUCUUACCUUAAAAAAUUGACUGCAGCGGUUUGGGUUAACUCUCACAGGCUUUCCUCCCUGUCCCACACAAUGUUGAAAGACGAUGGCCAGCCCAGGAUGUCACAAAUGGAGUAGGGUCAAGACUCUCGAAAGGUGGUCCAUUGAUGUCCACAAAAAGAAGAGAGGACAGACUGUUUUCGUGGAGCCCGUUGUGAGAUUUCAUGUCUGUGUCAUUAACUGCUGAAAAAAACCUCUCACAUUCAGCAGCCAACUGGCAAUCAGAAGUCCUGUGUCCCUUGUAGUUUAAACUCUCUGAAGUCUUCAGUUGCUUCACCAAGGAGUUUAGCCAUCUUGUGCACCUCUGUCUCACCAAAGAAGACACGCUCUUCACGCUUUUGUGGCCAGCUGGACAUCUCAAGGGGCCUCAACUGAACAAGCUUCAGUGAGAGGCUCUGCAGUUCCCUUAAAACAUCAUGCAGGCCAAAUCAUACAACCAACUUGCACUGCCAUGCCACUGCUCUCUUGUCCAGCAAGCUUCUCUGCUGAAUCAUGUGAUGGAAGAUAAGUGUUGGGAUUCAGAUUCACUUGAAUGUGACCAGAUCAAUUCUCCUGCUGCUGUUUUCCUAGAUGAAUCUGAAAAUUAAGAAGGAGAAGGAGUUGAGGAGGGUGUUGAAGCUCGUCUGGGAAGGCAGAGAAAGAGGGGAAAUCCCAAGGCCUGGAAGGUGAACAUCCAGAAAAGGAGGAGAGAGAGGGGCCAGUCCUAUCACGGGAGGAAGAAUCAAGAGCCUGGGCUGAAGGAGGCAAGACAAAUGGGGAUGCCAUGCCAGUCUGCCUGCCUGCCACUAAACUGCACUGCAGUGAAGUUUUAGAAUUGAAGAGAGAGGGGAUCUUCAAGUAUUUCUGGGGGAAAUUGGAUUGGAACAUUUUUGUGAAGUCUUUGGUGGAGGUGAGCAGUGUGAAGCGCCGGUGGACAGCAGAAGAAAAAUCCAGGAGGUCAGCAUCCAUUUUUUGCCACCUUGUAGUGGAUGGGAGAAGAAUCAGAGUGUGCCAAUGCAUGUUCCUGUCAACGCUAGGAAUAAAGCAGUGGUGUUUUUUGAAGUGGGUAGGAAGAAGAGGGAAAAGUCCUGAGAAGACUGAGAGAAUGAGUGUGAGGACAGAAGAGCAGGACUUCCUUAAGACCUUCCAAAAGUUCAGUUUCACUACUGUAGGUCCUCUUCGUCAAAGAUGUACCUGGAGCCUGUGUUCAAGUCCAUCAGUCACCUCCACACAGAGUAUAAGUGCUCUAGUGCAGAACAUGGCAUCCAGCCUCUGUCAAGAAAGUUUUCUCCAACAUUUUUAAUGCCUUAAAUCUAUCUCUUUUUCACCCAAAGAAAGACCAGUGUGAUACCUGCUGUGCAUUCAAGGCUGGGAACAUCGAAGCUGCCACAUGGGAGGAGCACUGCUUUAAAAGCAGAAGGACAAAGAAGAGGCAGUUGAAAAGACCUUGGUGGCAUGCAUGGAUCUACAGGGGCUCCUGCUCUGCCCAAAGCUGCAAGCCUCCACCCUCUUUUAUAAGACCAAGUCCAUCCGACCAGGACAAAAAGCUGGAGACCCAACAGUGCAUGACCUCUGAGCAAUCUGGUAUUUUAUCAUAUACAUUCAUUCUUGCACAAAUGUUGCUUUCUAUGUCAAUAGACAUCAGUGGUGGAAAGUACCUAAGUACAGUUACUCAAGUGCUGUACUUAAAUACAAUUUGAGGUACUUGUACUUGAGUAUUUCUAUUUCAUUUUAUGCUACUUUAUACUUCUACACUACAUUU